UGUCAUUUCGUCUUGUGAUGCGUUUGGCCCAGGUACAUGCAUCUCUGACCUAACUAUAAGUAACUGUGGUUUUGCCAUGUGAUGCUAAUUUUCUAUAUAGUUCACAAUAUUGAGUUGUAUGGAUCUUAUGGCAUCUGGUCCAUGUUGAAGCAUAACUUGACAUAUUGUCUGGGUAUUCUUCUAAACAAUGUUCUUUUUAUGAAUAUGCAGAAGGAGGAUGUUUCAUGCCUUUCUUGCAAUGCGAUCUAGACAUGUGCAGGCGUGACUGCAACGGUUUAUUUGCCUAUUGCACACCGGUAGGAGAAUUUCACCACCGUUGUUGUUGCGCUCCCAAGAAACUCAGUGCAUCUGUUGAUAAGAAUAGUCGUCCUUGAUAUAUGCAUUCCUAAAUUGUAGUUUAUAUGUCACUGCUUUUUCUCGGAUCGAAUGCUACCCGAUUAAAUAAAAUUUAUCGCCAUUGAAAAAAAUACUGCUCCCAAGAUAUUUACGUAUCGUGUGAAACUGUAAUGCUUCGUUUGUAUGUUCAUAUUCAGACUUCGACAUUGAUAUUGGGGCCAAUAUCAAUUUAAUUUGGACAUUGAUAUGGACAUUUAAGAUAAAUUCUGCUCUUUGGAUGUUGAUAUAUUUGACACUUAGACAUUGACAUUGAGACCAAUUUUAAAUCUUGCUUAGAUGUCCAUAUUGUUCAUUUGGCACUUGGCCGACAUGUCAUACUCUGUCUGGCCUCCACAAUUUUCCGUCGACUUCUCUUCUGGCGGAACGAUCACUGCCGACAAUCGUACGAUUGACAUGCAAAAAGAGGGGUUGGAAAAAAGGGAGGAAUUGGAGCUAUGCUCGUCCCAUGCCCUUUCUCAUCCCCUCACGGAACUCGACCCUCACCUUCCCCUCGUGUCGCCGUCGAUGCAGAGCCACGAUGCCGCCAAUAACCCCUCUUUACAACUCCAUUUCUUUUUUAGUGCCAGCCAGUCUCGUGCACUACAUCCUCCGCUGCCUCCAGCUUCAUCCGCGUGAGUGCACUAUGCUCCAUCCUCAGAGGACGAAUGCUUUCCCGCUGCUGCCGACUUCGAGUUCGGCUCACGCCAUAGCCACGACAUUGCAUUGAUGACCCCACCAUGAGCUCCGGCGAGGAGGCAUUUCACUCUGGUGGCAUCCGCGUUGGCUACCUUUCCCCCAUCCACCAAGAAACGGGCCACGAGGAGCGGGAGGAGCUGGGCGGCUUCGACAACCAUGCAUGUGCGGCGGCCUCACUGCGUCAGGUUAGCUCGAAGGGGGAAGCGGCCGGCUGGGCACUGCGGCUCGUAGGGGGAAGUGGAGGUCGUGGUCGUAGGCAAGGAGGAAGCGCUUGGGUCCAUGACUCCUUCCCCUUUUACCUUAAUGGGUAUUAGGGAAUCUCCAAUGUUGACCCCCAAAUAGACAUCGUAUCCAUCUACGGAACGGUGGGGAGCACUCCUCGGACACUGAUACGGGAGCCAUUCAUCCAAAGUUGUUUCCUAAACAGGGUCAGCCCUGUGUUUUGGAAGGCCCUAGGGCGAACUCGACAACAUGGGACCCUAAGUCGUAAGACCAUAUAUAUGUGUGGACAAUCAAAUUUAAUUGGGGUGACUCAUCAUAAAAGUAAAUAGAUAGGCCCUUCGCACAGGGAAGCAGGGAUUUGUAGAGGUGCCAGAGCUCGAUUUUGAAACAGAGAUAGAUAAUAUUUUGAGCGGCAUACUUUCAUUGUCAACAUAACAACCGAGAGAUCUCGAUAUCUUCCAUGCUACACACAUUAUAGGCGGUUCCCAAGCAGAAUGGUAAAGUUUAUACUCCCCCAGCACUAACAAGCAUCAAUCCAUGGCUUGCCCGAAACGACGGGUGCCUCCAACUAACAACAGUCCUGGGGGAGUUUUGUUUGCAAUUAUUUUGAUUUGGUUUGAGCAUGGGACUGGGCAUCCCGGUGACCAACCAUUUUCUCGUGAGUGAGGAGCGGAGUCCACUCCUCUUGAGAAUAACCCGCCUAGCAUGGAAGAUACAGACAGUCCUAGUUGAGACAUGAGCUAUUCGAGCAUACAAAACAGAAUUUCAUUUGAAGGUUUAGAAUUUGGCACAUACAAAUUUACUUGGAACGGCAGGUAGAUACCGCAUAUAGGAAGGUAUGAUGGACUCAUAUGGAAUAACUUUGGGGUUUAUGGAAGUGGAUGCACACGCAGUAUUCCCCCUUAGUACAAGUCAAGGCUAGAAAAGGACUGGGAAGCGACCAACUAGAGAGCGACAACAGUCAUGAACAUGCAUUAAAAUUAAUCAACACUGAGUGCAAGGAUGAGUAGGAUAUAAUUCACCAUGAACAUAAAUAUCGUGGAGGCUAUGUUGAUUUUGUUUCAACUACAUGCGUGAACAUGUGCCAAGUCAAGCCACUCGAACCGUUCAAAGGAGGAUGCCACCAUAUCAUACCACAUCACAACCAUUUGAAUAGCAUGUUGGCACGCAAGGUAAACCAUUAUAAACUACUAGCUAAUUAAGCAUGGCAUGAGCAACUAUAAUCUCUAAUUGUCAUUGCAAACAUGUUUCAUUCAUAAUAGGCUGAAUCUGGAACGAUGAACCAAUCAUAUUUACAAAAACAAGAAAGGUCGAGUUCAUACCAGCUUCUCUUAUCUCAAUCGAUCCAUCAUAUAUCAUCAUUAUUGCCUUUCACUCGCACGACCAAACGGUGUGGAUAAUAAUAAUAGUGCACGUGCAUUGGACUAAGCUGGAAUCUGCAAGCAUUUAAUUCAAGGGAGAAGACAAGGUAAUAUGGGCUCUUGGUUAAAUCAACAAUAAUGCAUAUAAGAGCCACUUUAACAUUUUCAUCAUGGUUCUCUCCUAUCGACCCCCAAAGAAAAGAGAAGAAAUAAAACUAUUUACACGGGAAAGCUCCCAACAAACAAAAGAAGAACGAGAAAUCUUUUUUGGGUUUUCUUUUAGUUACUACUACUACAGGCAUGGAAAGUAAACGGCUACAACUAUUUUUUUUAUUUUCUUAAGGUUUUUCAAACACACCAGAAGAAGCUUAGAACUAGAAAAUAAACUAGCAUGGAUAAUACCAUGAAAAAGUAUGAGCACCGACAACUGGCAUGAGUGUGUGAACAAGAAUGUAAUGUCUGUGAGAAAUACGUACGCCCCCAAGCUUAGGCUUUUGGCCUAAGUUGGUCUAUACCCACGGAUGGCCUGGCGGGUAUCCAAAGUUGUAACUGGGGUCGUACUGAGAUGUAGCAGCUACUGCCUCAAGAGUUGCAGCUUGGAGGCGAGCUGCCUCCGUCCUGCUCUCGUACUCGUUUGCCUCCUCUCUGGUUAUAACAUAUCUCCUUUUUGCGUGAAAGUCAAAGAAAGUAGGAGCAGGGAGAGUAAUAUGGACAACGUGACGUCUGUCAAAGAUUAGUCGAUACUUGAGAGACUGUUGAUUCCUCUCAACAAACUGAUGACGAACCAUAGCAUUAAAAUCUAGAUAAGCAGGAGGCAACUCCAUAUCAUUUUCAUGAAUGGGGUACCUCAAGAAAAUUAGCUAAACAGGCUGCAUAAAUUCCCCCAAACAAAUCUCCGCUAAUACUGUUAUGAUGCAACCUUCGUGCAACAAUAGCUCCCAAGUUAUAUUGUUUAUCUCUCUAAUACAGCACUCUUGAGAACACUAAGAUCGGGAACGCACAUGUGACAUGCCUCGUCCUUACCGUUAAUACAUCUACCUACAAAGAGAGAAAAUAAUGUAUGGCAGGAAAAUGAAUGCUUCCUAUGGUAGCUUGCGUGAUUUCCCUAGAUUCCCCCACAGUUAUACUAGCAAGAAAGUCUUUAUAUUCAGAUUUGCGAGGUUCACUAGCACUACCCCACUGCGGGAGUUUACAAAUAGUAUUAAAAUCCUCUAAAUCCAUGGUAUAAGAUUUAUCAUAAAUAUCAAACAGGACCAUGUGAGAAUUGCGUGAUGAUGUAAAUUUAAACCUUCUCACAAAAGAGUCAGUUAGGUAGUAGUAUUGAGGGCACUUAUCUGACACGAAGCCCUCGAGUUCAGCAUUACGCACAUACGCGUCAAACUCCUCCUUAAUGCCCGCUUGAACCAUAAAAUCUUCUGACGACCAUUCACAAGGCCGCACUUGAGCUUCUCUUGCUAGUUCAUAGUCCGGCUCACAUAUUGUGAGCCUUGGUGCUUGCUUCUUUGAUGAACCACCUUGGUAAAUUUUCCUAAACAUAUUUCUUCCUCUGGAAAAUUUCUGAAAUUUUUAGUUACUCAAAAAUAAAAGUGAACCAAACUCAACAAGAUUGGUAGCAACUACUCCCACAAGUGCCUAGAGACUAUAUCAUGCAUUAGAACUACUUGGGACCAUAUAAAUUUGACAUGCAAGCUCAAGAACAGGGUCACCUAAGCAGCAAAAAUUUGCAAUAAAUAAAGCACUAGAACAAAAACUAAUUGGACCAUUGGAGGAGUCACAUACCGAAGAACAAUCCCCAAAAGCAGUUUUGUGAGUGGGGCUUUGAGCAAGGAGAUCGAAAAUCGCAGCAAGAUGAGCUAGAACACGGGUUUGAGCUGUGUGGUGAUUUUUUCUGGAGGAAGACGAAAUGUGUCGGUGCAUGAAUAAGUGGAGGGGGUCCACGUGGGGCCCACGAGGUAGGGGCGCACGCAGGGGGUGGUGCGCGCCCUGGACCCUCGUGGCCAGGUGGUGGCUCCCCCUGGUGUGUUCUCAGUGCCAGAUAUUCUUAAAUAUUCUACAAAAAAUCAUAUUUCAAUUUCGGGGCAUUUGGAGAACUUUUAUUUUCGGGGUAUUUUUUAUUGCAUGGACAAUUUAGAAAACAGACAGAAAAUACUCCUUUUGAUUUAUUUAAUCUAAAUAACAGAAAGUAAAAGGAGGGUACAAAGAGUUGUGCUUUCUAACUUCAUCCAUCUCAUGCUCAUCAAAAGGAAUCCACUAACAAGGUUGAUCAAGUCUUGUUAACAAACUCAUUCCGAAUCGCAUGAAACCGGAGAAUUUUCAAAUAGCACUAGGUUACCUCAACGGGAAUAUGGACAUCCCCAAAAAUAAGAAUAUCAUAUUUCUUCUUGACAGUAGCAAGAGGAAAUUCAAAAGGCAUAACACUAUUCAAAUCAAGUCUACAAUAUAAAGAGAGAGGCAUAACACUAACACCGGCUCCAAGAUCACAUUAAGCAGUUUUAACAUAGUUUCUUUUAAUGGAGCAGGGUAUAGUUGGUACUCCUGGAUCUCCAAGUUUCUUAGGUAUUCCACCCUUAAAAGUAUAAUUAGCAAGCAUGGUGGAAAUUUCAGCUUCCGGUAUCUUUCAUUUAUUUGUAACAAUAUCUUUCAUGUACUUAGCAUAGGGAUUCAUUUUAAGCAUAUCAGUCAAACGCAUACGCAAAAAGAUAGGUCUAAUCAUUUCAGCAAAGCGCUCAAAAUCCUCAUCAUCCUUUUCCUUGGAUGGCUUAGGAGGAAAAGGCAUGGGUUUCUGAACCCAUGGUUCUCUUUCUUUACCGUGCUUCCUAGCAACAAAGUCUUUCUUAUCAUAACGUUGAUUCUUUGAUUGUGGGUUAUCAAGAUCAACAUCAUGUUCAAUCUCUACAUCAUUAUUAUUGCUAGGUUGAGCAUCAACAUGAACAUCAUCAUUAACAUUAUCACUAGGUUCAUGUUCAUCACCAGAUUGUGUUUCAGCAUCAGAAACAGAAAUAUCAUUGGGAUUCUCAAGUGUGUCAACAACAGGUUCACUAGAGGCAUGCAAAGUCCUAUCAUUUUUCUUUUUCUUCCUCUUAGAUGGACUAGGUGCAUCAACAUUAGUUCUCUAAGAAUCUUGCUCAAUUCUCUUAGGGUGGCCCUCAGGAUACAAAGGUUCCUGAGUCAUUUUGCCCCCUCUAGUCAUAACUCUAACAACAUUAUCAUUUUUCUUAUUAUUUAAUUCAUUGAGCAAAUCAUUUUGAGCUUUAAGCACUUGUUCAACUUGAGUGGUGACCAUAGAAGCAUAUUUACUAAUAAGGUUAAGUUCACCUUUAACUCUAGACAUAUAAUCACUCAAGUGUUCAAUCAUAUAAGCAUUGCGUUUCAAUUGUCUACCAACAUAAGCAUUGAAGUUUUCCAUUUUAACCAUAAAGUCAUCAAACUCAUCCAAGCAUUGGCUAGUAAACUUAGUCGACGGUAUUUCAACUUUAUCAUAUCUAUAGAGAGAAUUUACCUUUACUACCUGUGUCGGGUUAUCAAGACCACACAUUUCUUCAAUAGGCGGUAAAUUUAGACUAUGUAUUUCUUCAAUAGGCGGUAAAUUCUUAAUAUCUUCAGCUUUAAUACCUUUUCCUUUCAUGGAUUUCUUUGCCUCUUUCUAUAUCUUCAGGACUGAGAAAUAGAAUACCCCUUUUCUUCGGAGUUGGUUUUGGAGUUGGUUCAGGAAGUUUCCAAUUAUUUUCAUUACUCAACAUAUUAUUCAAUAGCAAUUCAGCUUGAUCAACAGUUCUUUCCCUGAAAACACAACCAGCACAACUAUCCAGGUGGUCUCUGGAAGCAUCAGUUAGUCCAUUAUAAAAGAUAUCAAGUAUUUCAUUUUUCUUGAGAGGAUGAUCAGGCAAAGCAUUAAGUAAUUGGAGAAGCCCCCCAAGCUUGUGGGAGACUCUCUUCUUCAAUUUGCAAAAAAAUUAUAUAUUUCCCUUAAGGCAGCUUGUUUCUUAUGAGCGGGGAAAUAUUUAGCAGAGAAGUAAUAUAUCAUAUCUUGGGAACUACGCACACAACCAGGAUCAAGAGAAUUAAACCAUAUUUUAGCAUCACCCUUUAAUGAGAACAGAAAUAACUUAAGGAUAUAGUAGUAACGAAUUUUUUCCUCAUGAGUGAAUAGGGUGGCUAUAUCAUUUAAUUAGUAAGAUGUGCCAUGACAGUUUCAGAUUCAUAACCAGAGAAAGGAUCAGAUUCAACCAAAGUAAUUAACUCAGGAUCGACAGAGAAAUCAUAAUCCUUAUCAGCAAUACAGAUAGGUGAAGUAGCAAAAACAGGGUCAUAUUUCAUUCUAGCAUUCAAAGAUUUUUCUUUCAGCUUACCUAAUAAUUUCUUAAGAUCAUAUCUAUCAUUGCAAGCAAGAAAGUCUCUAGCAGUUUCUUCAUCCAUAACAUAACCCUCAAGUACAACAAGAAAUUCAUAUCUAGGGGGAGAAUCUUCAUCAUCACUUUCAUCAAUAUUAUCAGUUUCAACAAUUUCAUUCUCUCUAGCCCUAGCAAGUUGUUCAUCAAGAAAUUCACCUAGUGGCACAGUAUUAUCAAGCAUAGAAGUAGUUUCAUCAUAAGUAUCAUGCAUAGCAGAAGUGGCAUCAUCGAUAACAUGCGACAUAUCAGAAUUAAUAGCAGAAGCAGGUUUAGGUGUCGCAAGUUUACUCAUAACAGAAGCUGAAUCAAGUGCAGUGCUAGAUGGCAGAUUUUUACCUCCCCUCGUAGUUGAGGGAUAGAUCUUGGUUUUCUCGUCUUUCAAGUUCCUCAUAGUGAUCAGCAGAUAUAAAUCCAAAGUGACUCAAAGAAUAGAGCUAUGCUCCCCGGCAACGGCGCCAGAAAAUUGUCUUGAUAACCCACAAGUAUAGGCGAUCACAACAGUUUUCGAGGGUAGAGUAUUCAACCCAAAUUUAUUGAUUCGACACAAGGGGAGCCAAAGGAUAUUCUCAAGUAUUAGCAGUUGAGUUGUCAAUUCAACCACACCUGGAUAACUUAAUAUCUGCAGCAAAGUAGUAUCGAAGUAACGGUAAUAGUGGCAAAAGUAACAGUAGUAGUUUUGUAGUAAUUGUAACAGUGGCAACAGAAAAGUAACUAAGCAAAGAUUGAUACGUCUCCAUCGUAUCUACUUUUCCAAACACUUUUGCCAUUUUUUUGGACUCUAACUUGCAUGAUUUGAAUGGAACUAACCCGGACUGACGCUGUUUUCAGCAGAAUUGCCAUGGUGUUAUUUUUGUGCAGAAACAAAAGUUCUCGGAAUGACCUGAAAAUCAACGGAGAUUAUUUUUGGAAAAUAUAAAAAACACCGGCGAAAGAAUCAAGGCCAGGGGGCCCACACCCUGUCCACGAGGGUGGGGGGCGCGCCUGCCCCCCUGGGCGCGCCCCCUGCCUCGUGGGCCCCCUGGUGCUCCACCGACCUCAACUCCAACUCCAUAUAUUCGUGUUCGGGGAGAAAAAAAUCAGAGAGAAGGAUUCAUCGCGUUUUACGAUACGGAGCGCCGCCAAGCCCUAUACUCUCUCGUGAGGGCUGAUCUGGAGUCCGUUCGGGGCUCCGGAGAGGGGAAUCCGUCGCCAUCGUCAUCAUCAACCAUCCUCCAUCACCAAUUUCGUGAUGCUCACCGCCGUGCGUGAGUAAUUCCAUCGUAGGCUUGCUGGACGGUGAUGGGUUGGAUGAGAUUUAUCAUGUAAUCGAGUUAGUUUUGUUAGGGUUUGAUCCCUAGUAUCCACUAUGUUCUGAGAUUGAUGUUGCUAUGACUUUGCUAUGCUUAAUGCUUGUCACUAGGGCCCGAGUGCCAUGAACUCAGAUCUGAACCCUUUAUGUUUUCAUCAAUAUAUUUGUGUUCUUGAUCCGAUGUUGCAAGUUAUAGUCACCUACUAUGUGUUAUGAUCCGGCAACCCCGAAGUGAUCAUAAGAAAUUAUUAGCUAAGUUGAAAGAAAAAUCUCUGAAUGCUAGAAUGAAAUAUGAUCCUGCUUAUGCUACUUCACCUAUCUUUGUUACUGAUAAGGAUUACGAUUUCUCUAUUGAUACUGAGAUAAUUACUUUGGUUGAAUCUGAUCCUUUCUAUGGCUAUGAAUCUGAAACUGUUGUGGCACAUCUCACUAAAUUAAAUGGUAUAGCCACCCUAUUCACUAAUGAUGAGAAAAUUCGCUACUAUUAUAUCCUUAAAUUACUUCCGUUCUCAUUAAAGGGUGAUGCUAAGACAUGGUUUAACUCUCUUGAUCAUGGUUGUGUGCGUAGUCCCCAGGAUAUGAUUUAUUACUUCUCUGCUAAAUAUUUCCCUGCUCAUAAGAAACAAGCUGCUUUAAGGGAUAUAUAUAUAAUUUUGUGCAAAUUGAAGAAGAGAGUCUCCCACAAGCUUGGGGGAGGCUUCUCCAAUUACUUAAUGCUUUGCCUGAUCAUCCUCUUAAGAAAAAUGAAAUACUAGAUGUCUUUUAUAAUGGACUAAUCGAUGCUUCCAGAGACCACCUGGAUAGUUGUGCUGGUUGUGUUUUCAGGGAAAGAACAACUGAUCAAGGUGAAAUCCUAUUGAAUAAUAUGUUGACAAAUGAAAAUAAUUGGACACUUCCUGAACCAACUCCUAAGUCAACUCCGAAGAAAAGGGGUGUUCUAUUUCUCAGUCCUGAAGAUAUGCAAGAGGCAAAGAAAUCUAUGAAAGGAAAAGGUAUAAAAGCUGAAAAUGUUAAGAAUUUACCUCCUAUUGAAGAAAUACAUGGUCUUAAUUUACCACAUGUGGAAGAAACACAUGAUCUUGAUAACCCGAUACAGGUAGUAAAGGUAAACUCUCUCUAUAGAUAUGAUAAAGCUGAAAUCCCGCCUGCCAAGUUUGCUAGCCAAUGUUUAGAUGAGUUUGAUGAUUUUAUGGUUAAGCAAGAAAACUUCAACGCUUAUUUUGGUAGGUAAUUAAAACACAAUGCUUAUAUGAUUGAAAACUUGAGUGAUUAUAUGUCUAGAGUUAAAGGUGAACUUAAACUCAUUAGUAAACAUGCUUCCAUGGUUACCACUCAAGUUGAACAAGUACUUAAAGCUCAGAAUGAUUUGCUCAAUGAAUUAAAUAGUAAGAAUAAUGAUUUUGAUGUUAGAGUUGCAACUAGGGGAGGUAAAGUGACUCAGGAACCUUUGUAUCCUGAGGGCCAUCCUAAGAGAAUUGAGCAGGAUUCUCAGAAAAAUAAUGUUGAUACACCUAGUCCUUCUAAGAGGAAGAAAAAGAAAAAUGAUAGGACUUUGCAUACUUCUAGUGAACCUGUUGUUGACACACCUGAGAAUCCUAAUGAUAUUUCUAUUUCCGAUGCUGAAACACAAUCUGGUAAUGAACAUGAACCUAGUGAUAAUGUUAAUGAUGAUGUUCAUGUUGAUGCUCAACCUAGCAAUGAUAAUGAUGUAGAGAUUGAACCUGCUGUUGAUCUUGAUAACCCACAAUCAAAGAAUCAACGUUAUGAUAAGAGAGACUUUGUUCCUAGGAAGCACGGUAAAGAAAGAGAGCCAUGGGUUCAGAAACCCAUGCCUUUUCCUCCUAAACCAUCCAAGGAAAAGGAUGAUGAGGAUUUUGAGCGCUUUGCUGAAAUGAUUAGGCCUAUCUUUUUGCGUAUGCGAUUAACUGAUAUGCUCAAAAUGAAUCCUUAUGCUAAGUAUAUGAAAGAUAUUGUUACUAAUAAAAGAAAGAUACCGGAAUCUGAAAUUUCCACCAUGCUUGCUAAUUAUACUUUUAAGGGUGGAAUACUAAAGAAACUUGGAGAUCCAGGGGUACCAACUAUACCAUGCUCCAUUAAAAGAAACUAUGUUAGAAAUGCUUUAUGUGAUCUUGGAGCCGGUGUUAGUGUUAUGCCUCUCUCUUUAUAUCGUAGACUUGAUUUGAAUAAGUUGACACCUACUGAAAUAUCUUUGCAAAUGGCUGAUAAAUCAACUGCUAUACCUGUCAGUAUUUGUGAGGAUGUGUCUGUUGUUGCAAACGUUACUAUUUUAACAGACUUUGUUAUUCUUGAUAUUCCUGAGGAUGAGAGUAUGUCUAUUAUUCUUAGAAGACCCUUUUUGAAUACUGCAGGGGCUGUUAUUGAUUGCAACAAAGGCAAUGUCACUUUUCAUGUUAAUGGCAAUGAGCAUACGGUACACUUUCCGAGGAAACAACCUCAAGUUCAUAGUAUAAACUCUACUGGAAAAAUUCCAUCGAUUAUUUUUGGAGGUUUUGAAUUUCCUCUCCCUACUGUCAAAAGGAGAUAUGAUAUUCUUAUUAUUGGGGACGUGCAUAUCCCCGUUGAGGUAACUUAGUGCUAUUCGAAAAUUCUCCGGUUUCAUGCAAUUCGGAAUGAGUUUGUUAACAAGACCUGAUCAACCUUGUUAGUGGAUUCCUUUUGAUGAGCAUGAGAUGGAUGAAGUUAGAAGGAGGCACAACCUUCUGUACUCUCCUUUUACUUUCUGUAAUUUAGUUGAAAUAAAGUAAAAUCAGUAUUUUCUGUGUGUUUUCUGAAUUAUCCGUGCAAUAAAAAAUACCCCGAAAAUAAAAGUUCUCCAAAUGCCCCGAAAUUGAAAUAUGAUUUUUUUUCUAGAAUAUUUAAGAAUAUCUGGCACUGAGAACACAUCAGGGGGAGCUAGCACCUGGCCACGAGGGUCCAGGGCGCGCCCACCCCCUGGGCGCGCCCCCUUGCCUCGUGGAUCCAUGGUGGCUCCCCUCUACUUAUUCCUGCACCCACACACUCCUUCUUCCUCCCAAAAAAAAAUCACUAACCAGCUCAAGCACGAGUUCUAGCUCAUCUUGCUGCCAUUUUCAAUCUCCUUGCUCAAAGCUCCACUCACAAAACUGCUUUGGGGGAUUGUUCCUUGGUAUGUCACUCCUCCAAUGGUCCAAUUAGUUUUUGUUCUAGUGCUUUAUUUAUUGCAAAUUUUUGCUGCUUAGGUGACCCUGUUCUUGAGCUUGCAUGUCAAAUUUAUUUGGUCCCAAGUAGUUCUAAUGCAUGAUAUAGUCUCUAGGCACUUGUGGGAGUAGUUCCUAUCAAUUUUGUUGAGCUUGGUUCACUUUUAUUUGAAGUUACUAAAAAUUUCAGAAAUUUUUCAGAGGAAGAUAUAUGCUUAGGAAAAUGUACCAAGGUGGUUCUUCAAGGAAGCAAGGACCCAGGCCCGCAAUGCGUGAUCCGGACGAUGAUCCACCGAGGGACGCUCAAGUGCGGCCUUGUGAAUGGCCGUCAGAAGAUUUCAUGGCCCAAGCAGGAAUUAAGGAGGAAUUUGAGGCAUAUGUGCGUAACGCUGAUUUGGAGGGCUUCGUGUCAGAUAAGUGCCUCCAACAUUAUUACCUUAUUGAUUCCUUUGUGAGAAGAUUUAGAUUUUCAUCAUCACGCAACUCUCACACGGUCCUGUUUGAUCUUUAUGAUAAAUCCUAUACCAUGGACCUUGAGGAUUUUACUACCGCUUGUAAACUCCCGCAGUGGGGUAGUCCUAGUGAACCUCGCAAAUCUGAGUUUAGAGAUUUUCUUGCUAGUAUCACAGUGACGGAAUCUAGAGACAUAACACAAGCUACUACAGGGAGCAUUCAUUUUCCUACUAUACAUUAUUUUGCUCUCUUCAUAGGUAGAUGCAUAAAUGGUAAAGACGAAGCAUGUCACAUGUGUGUUCCUGAUCUCAGUGUUCCCAGGAGCGCUGUAUUAGGAGAUAAGCGAUAUAACUUGGGAGCCAUUGUUGCGCGUAGGUUGCAUAAUAAUAGUUUUAAUGGAGAUUUCUUUGGUGGAAUUUAUGCAACCCGUCUAGCUAAUUAUUUUGAGAUACCUAUUCCUGAUUAUGAUAUGGAAUUGCCUCCUGCUUUUCUAGAUUUUAAUGCCAUGGUUCGCCACCAGUUUGUUGAGAGGAAUGAACCGCCUCUCCAGUACCGACUAAUCUUUGACAGGCGCCAUGCUGUCAAUAUUGUUCUUCCUGCUCCUACUUUCAGGCAAAGGGGAGAUAUGUCAUAACCAGGGAGCACUACUAGGGAAAACCCUAGCAGUAGUGCGGGUAUUUUGCCUAUCAGUAGCGCGGGACGUCGCGCUACUGAUAAGGUGCUAUAGCUAACGUGUAGCAGUAGCGCUUGUCGUCCCAUGCUACUGCUAUACAUGGAUAGCAGUAGCACGCUUUAAUGAAGAGCGUUGCUGCUAAUAUCUGCAGCGCUUUUUACAGGGAAGCGCUACUGGUGAGGCAGCACUACUGCUAACUUUGUUCCCCUCGCUACUGCUAGUUUUAUUAUUAUUUUUCUGCAUAUUUGUUUUGUAUUUGAAUAGGCUUUAUACAAUAAUCUUUAGCAUACAUACACAUACAAAUGUAAUCGUAGCAUAUACAUACAACUAGUCUCAUCAAAUCAUGUCAUCAUCGUAAUCAUCAUCCAACACAAAGUGGUCUCUCGUCAUCAUCUCGAAAAUAGAGAUACAAGUCUCGAUUACUUGCAACUACAUUGUCAUCCAUCUAAACAAUGAUAUACGCGAGAAGAGCUAUCACUUUGAGUGAGAGCGGAACUAUGCAGUACAUGAGUUCGUAUCCCUCUCUCGCAUUAGCGUGCUAAACUAACUACUGCCUGUCGCUCAGAAACCGGAAACCGGUACACCUCGGCCUGACAGUCCGGCCACUUGUCGUAUAUAUACUCCUCGCGUAGCACUUCUUCGCCAUCGAUGAUCUAUGCACCUGCAUCGUCACAUGAGUCGAUGAUAUGCAACAUAUAUAGUUGAGCAACAUAAAGAGACAGACUUGACAAAAAUAGAAGCAACAUAUCAUAAGCAUAAAUAACAAAGUUGAUCAUACCCUAAAUGCCCUAACUAGAGUGAUCGUCGCUAGUCGAGGAGGAUGGUUUAGUUACAUCACAAAUAAAAUUUCGUCGUGCAUAACUCAAAGUUUCAUCAUACAGAAAGUAUGGACUAAACGGACUCAUUGUCAUAUAUAGACAAUCACUCCAACAUGUCGUGCCAUCCAUCCAAGUCAGGGAGAUAGUCCCCGAGCCUAGUGAAAGGCUUCAGGUCGAGACGCUGAGAGGCUACCCGUGUUCGGACGUCUUCCCACGACAUUUGUCCUUCUUCGUAGAACAUCUCUAUUUUUCCGACGAGCUCCUUCAUGAUGAUUUGGGCAAGUUCGCGCUGGAUGUGAUAGAACUCAGCUCGAAGUCGAUGAUCCUCGAUAUCUCCUACGUUCUUUGCCCAUUGCAGAAUAUGGGCAUCGUCGGAUUUAGGUGACAUGCGAAGGUUCUGGUGAUCCCGUCUGUACUCCAGCAUGUGGUGUAGGACAUAGAAUCCAUCAUUAAGAGAAUCACCCGGUUGCUGGAUGCAGCAGAAGUCGGUCUUAUGGCCGAAGGCGGGCCUGCCGUCCCUUCUCUUCUUGUCCUUGACCUCUCCACCCCAUGCGCCGUAGUGAAAGAUAGCACUGUCAAGAACAUCCUUGAUGUGGGUGUAAUCCUUUUUGUUAAUGUUCUUCGAUGAGUCCAAGUAAAGAGCGUGGGAGUAUCGGGGGUAGAGGAUGAUGAGGACGGCGCGCCCGCCGCUGCGCAAAAUAAGUACACCUCAAAUUAAUUAGCCUCCACCGUGCAAAUGAAUGAUUGAAAUCGAAGGAAGGAUAUCCGCGCGGAUGACUUACAGGGGAUGAUAAGGCACGAUAAUUGCCUCCUUGUCCUUAUUGGCGAGCAUGAAAUUGAUGAUGUAUUCCCUCGCGUAUUCACGGUGCUUUGCGCAGACUCCCAAGAAGCCCUCGUGCAUGAAGUACGGGUCAGCGACACAGAUAUGAGGUAUCUACUCAACCCCGAUGAUGUAGUUCAUGUGCAAGGCAUAAAGGCGGAAAAACGUAAAAUCCAGCUUCUUCACAUGAAACAUGUCGAAUAUGUAAUCGAAUCGAAGGAAGAACUUCUCCGCGGGGAAUGUGUCGACGUACGACAAUUGCCGUGGAACAUUAACCACGUAGAGUGGGUAUCCUGGAUCUUUCGAGGCAUUGAGGCCUUUCUCUAUCCGCAGCACAUCGUCAUGAAGUCUCCGUAGAUCGUCGAAUCUGGCCCCUAGCGCAGUUGCAGGUAGGAUUGGUUGACCGGGGAUAUGCCAUUUAUCCGCACCGGGGAUAUCCAUACGGUCUUGAACCCGAGGCUACUGAGGCGGCUGGAUCAUAGAAUCAGCUUUUUUUGGCUUUCCUCGGUCUCUUCCUAGACUAUUUAACUACCGUAAGGUCGUCCAUAAUACGUUCAGCCUCUGGAGAUGGCAAUUCAGGCACCGACUCAUGACGCUCAAACCCUAAGUAGGCGCCAGUAUAGACAUACUGUUGAGUGUCAUCGUCAUCCUCAUCCUCAUCUAUGGCGACGUCACCAGCGACUAAUGGAGCCUUUUCCUCACCCCUCCGCUAUCACCCAGCACGACAGCCGACGCUAAUUGGGUAGGUGAGGUGUUGAUGUUCAUACCUAACUACGUGCUCGUGGGUGUGCUCCCGGCCGCCUCCAGACGAAGAAGACUCUUUGGCCACAACAGGACCCACCCAUGGCAACAAUCACCAAGCCGUCGCGGGGUCUCGUCGUCAUCCCCCACUAGUACCAGAGGAGGCAAAUUCCCGUGGCCCGGUUUGACACUGGCCACUGAUACGUCUCCGUUGUAUCUACUUUUCCAAACACUUUUGCCCUUGUUUUGGACUCUAACUUGCAUAAUUGGAAUGGAACUAACACGGACUGCCGCUGUUUUCAGCAGAAUUGCCAUGUGUUAUUUAUGUGCAGAAACAAAAGUUCUCAGAAUGACCUGAAACUUCACGGAGAUUAUUUUUGGAAAUAAUAAAAAAUACUGGCGAAAGAAUCAAGGCCAGGGCGCCUACACCCUUUCCACAAGGGUGGGGGGCGCGCCUGCCCCCCUGGGCGUGCCCCCCUGCCUCGUGGGCCCCCUGGUGCUCCACCGACCUCAACUCAAACUCCAUAUAUUCGUGUUCGGGGAGAAAAAAAUCAGAGAGAAAGAUUCAUCACGUUUUACGAUACGGAGCCGCCGCCAAGCCCUAAAAUCUCUUGGGAGGGCUGAUCUGGAGUCCGUUCGGGGCUCCGGAGAGGGGAAUCCGUCGCCGUCGUCAUCAUCAACCAUCCUCCAUCACCAAUUUCAUGAUGCUCACCGCUGCGCGUGAGUAAUUCCAUCGUAGGCUUGCUGGAUGGUGAUGGGUUGGAUAAGAUUUAUCAUGUAAUCGAGUUAGUUUUAUUAGGGUUUGAUCCCUAGUAUCCACUAUGUUCUGAGAUUAUUGAUGUUGCUAUGACUUUGCUAUGCUUAAUGCUUGUCACUAGGGCCCGAGUACCAUGAUUUCAGAUCUGAACCUAUUAUGUUUUCAUGAAUAUAUGUGAGUUCUUGAUCCUAUCUUGCAAGUCUAUAGUCACCAGCCCCGAAGUGACAAUAAUCGGGAUCACUCCCGGUGAUGACCGUAGUUUGAGGAGUUCAUGUAUUCACUAUGUGUUAAUGCUUUGGUCCGGUACUCUAUUAAAAGGAGGCCUUAAUAUCCCUUAGUUUCCACUAUGACCCCGCUGGCACGGGAGGGUAGGACAAAAGAUGUCAUGCAAGUUCAUUUCCAUAAGCACGUAUGACUAUAUUCGGAACACAUGCCUACGUUACAUUGAUGAAUUUGAGCUAGUUCUAUGUCACCCUAUGUUAUGAUUGUUACAUGAUGAACCGCAUCCGGCAUAAUUCUCCAUCAUCGAUCCAAUGCCUACUAGCUUUUCACAUAUUGCUCUUUGCUUAUUUACUUUACCGUUGCUACUAUUACCAUCACUACAAUACUGCUAUCGUUACCUUUGCCACUGUUACCGUUACUAUCAUACUACUUUGCUACUAAAUACUUUGCUGCAGAUAUUAAGUUAUCCAGGUGUGGUUGAAUUGACAACUCAACUGCUAAUACUUGAGAAUAUUCUUUGGCUCCCCUUGUGUCGAAUCAAUAAAUUUGGGUUGAAUACUCUACCCUCGAAAACUGUUGCGAUCCCCUAUACUUGUGGGUUAUCAAGACUAUUUUCUGGCGCCGUUGCUGCGGAGCAUAGCUCUAUUCUUUGAGUCACUUGGGAUUUAUUUCUGCUGGUCACUAUGAAGAACUUGAAAGACGCGAAAACAAAAAUUUAUCCCUCAACUACGAGGGGAGGUAAGGAACUGCCAUCUAGCUCUACACUUGAUUCACCUUCUGUUUUGAGUAAGCUUGCGACACCUAAACCUGCUUCUGCUAGUAAUUCUGAUAUGUCACAUGUUAUUGGAGGGGGAGUAUAAACUUUACCAUUCUGUUUGGGAACCGCCUAUAAUGUGUGUAGCAUGGACGAUAUCGCCAUCUCUUGGUUGUUAUGUUGACAAUGAAAGUAUGCCGCUCAAAAUAUUAUUUAUCUCUAUUUCAAAACCGAGCUCUGGCACCUCUACAAAUCCCUGCUUCUCUUUGCAAAGGGCAUAUCUAUUUACUUUUAUGUUGAGUCAUCACCCUCUUAUUAAAAAGCAUCGGCUGGAGAGCACUGCUGUCAUUUGCAUCCAUUAUAAUUACUUUAUAUUGGGUAUGACUAUGACUGGAUCUCUUUUACCAUGAAUUACAAUGUUUAGUCAGUCCUUGAUCUUUAAAGGUGCUCUGCAUUUAUGUUUUGCGGUCUCAGAAAGGGCUAGCGAGAUACCAUCUUGUUAUAUCAUAUUAUGAUUGUUUUGAGAAAGUGUUGUCAUCCGAGAUUUAUUAUUAUUGCUUGCUAGUUGAUUAUGUCAUUGAUAUGAGUAAACAUGAGACCUAAGUGUUAUUGUGAGUGUGGUUAGUUCAUAAUCUUUGCUGAAAACUUGAAUGCUGGCUUUACAUAUUUACAACAACAAGAGCAAACAGAGUUUGUAAAAGUUUUUCUUUAUCACUUUCAGUUUGUCAACUGAAUUGCUUGAGGACAAGCAAAGGUUUAAGCUUGGGGGAGUUGAUACGUCUCCGUCGUAUCUACUUUUCCAAACACUUUUGCCCUUGUUUUGGACUCUAACUUGCAUAAUUUGAAUGGAACUAACCCGGACUGACGUUGUUUUCAGCAGAAUUGCCAUGGUGUUAUUUAUGUGCAGAAACAAAAGUUCUCGGAAUGACCUGAAACUUCACAGAGAUUAUUUUUGGAAAUAAUAAAAAAAUACUGGCGACAGAAUCAAGGCCAGGGGGCCACACCCUUUCCACGAGGGUGGGGGGCGCGCCCCUUGCCUCGUGGGCCCCUUGUUGCUCCACCGACCUCAACUCCAGCUCCAUAUAUUCGUGUUCUGGGAGAAAAAAAUCAGAGAGAAAGAUUCAUCGCGUUUUACGAUACGGAGCUGCCGCCAAGCCCUAAACUCUCUCGGGAGGGCUGAUCUGGAGUCUGUUCGGGGCUCCGGAGAGGGGAAUCCGUCGCCGUCGUCAUCAUCAACUAUCCUCCAUCACCAAUUUCAUGAUGCUCACCGCCGUGCGUGAGUAAUUCGAUCGUAGGCUUGCUGGACGGUGAUGGGUUGGAUGAGAUUUAUCAUGUAAUCGAGUUAGUUUUGUUAGGGUUUGAUCCCUAGUAUCCACUAUGUUCUGAGAUUGAUGUUGCUAUGACUUUGCUAUGCUUAAUGCUUGUCACUAGGGCCCGAGUGCCAUGAUUUCAGAUCUGAACCUAUUAUGUUUUCAUGAAUAUAUGUGAGUUCUUGAUCCUAUCUUGCAAGUCUAUAGUCACCUACUAUGUGUUAUGAUCUGGCAACCCCGAAGUGACAAUAAUCGGGACCACUCCCGGUGAUGAUCUUAGUUUGAGGAGUUCAUGUAUUCACUAUGUGUUAAUGCUUUGGUCCGGUACUCUAUUAAAAGGAGGCCUUAAUAUCCCUUAGUUUCCACUAGGACCCCGCUGCCACGGGAGGGUAGGACAAAAGAUGUCAUGCAAGUUCUUUUCCAUAAGCACGUAUGACUAUAUUUGGAAUACAUGCCUACAUUACAUUGAUGAAUUGGAGCUAGUUCUAUGUCACCCUAUGUUAUGAUUGUUACAUGAUAAACCGCAUCCGGCAUAAUUCUCCAUCACCGAUCCAAUGCCUACGAGCUUUUCACAUAUUGCUCUUUGCUUAUUUACUUUACCAUUGCUACUGUUACAAUCACUACAAUACUGCUAUCGUUACCUUUGCCACUGUUACCGUUACUGUCAUACUACUUUGCUACUAAAUACUUUGCUGCAGAUAUUAAGUUAUCCAGGUGUGGUUGAAUUGACAACUCAACUGCUAAUACUUGAGAAUAUUCUUUGGCUCCCCUUGUGUCGAAUCAAUAAAUUUGGGUUGAAUACUCUACCCUCGAAAAUUGUUGCGAUCCCCUAUACUUGUGGGUUAUCAGCCACGGAAACCUUGAAGACGUUCGGGGGGAUCGGCUGGCUGUGGAACAAUGGUUCCUUCGGCUUCAUUAUCGUCGCCUUCCCCACGUUCACCUUCUGGUCGCCGAUGGUGUACAAUAUGGUGCACGGGGUUUCGUCGGCCUGCAAAGAAAAGUCUGCGACGUGAGACAUCCGAAAGGCAACGAAAACGGGAGAUUAUACAUUUAUUGAAGGGGGCCGGUGUGACAGAUACCGUGAGGGCAUGGAGCUCAGCCAAAGACGAAGCACCGCCGAGCACGUCUGGUGCCGGAGCCGGUGCCGGAGCAGGUGCGAGAGCCGGUGUGGGAGCCGGUGUGGGAGCCGGUGCGGGAGCAGCUGCAGCUGCAGGUGCUGGUGCAACGCUAGUCGAGCUGCUCCCCAAGAAGUCAGCAAAGGGAAAGUCCUCUGCAUUUUUAUCUGGAUUUUGCCUGCUCCAAUUGAAAACGGCCGGAACCAAGGUAGUAGACAUAUCUACAAGCACCUGUUUUGCGGCAGCUACCACUGUCGCGACUGUCUCGGAUGAUUUCUUCUCAACCGCAAUCUCAACCUUCUUGUCGAUGUUUUCUUCAGUUAACCUCCGUCUUUCCUUUCUCUCCUCUGUGGUCUCACGGUAGUACUUCUUCCAGGUGGCGCCGUCUCCAACACCGUGCACGCGUCCGUAUGAUGGUCGAGUCUCCACCGGGAGUCAUUUCAAUAUGUUCAAUGCCCGGUUGAAUGGAGUGUCCCACUUGGGCCUCGCCAACGCCUCAGACGGCGAGUCGCUUUCGGUCGCAAUCCUGUGCUGCUCUCUCUGCAAAAGGCACAAGGAUCGUUUACAAAUAUGACUAACGUGCAGUCAAAUUGAUCAGAAACUAAAAUUACCAGCAGUCUCAUGAACUCUGUCGUGACCGCGUUCGUCUUGAAAACCUUCUUCACUGGGUCCCAAUGGUGCCGGGCCCUGAGGACGUCACGCUCCUGCGGGAUGGUGAACUCCGCCAAGGGGUUUGGGAUGCCCAGACUCGCGGCUUCCGCGUCCUCCUUGGCCCAUAUGGACCUCUUCCCGCCGUAACCACGACUUCCGAGGUGGUGGCACCCAAUGUUCCUCUGUUGAAGCCCCUUCAUGUACUUCGACUUUUUUUGGCAGCUUUGGCCUCGCAAGCCGCCUUGAAUAUUUCAAACUGCUCUGUCGUGAUUGUUGGAUUAUCCUUUACAAUCUCAGAGUAGGGUUCUUUUUUGUCGAUGAUCCUUGCUUUCACCCUUGUUUUCCAGGCGGCCAAUGCGUCGCUAAACUUGGUCAUGGCGUGUUUGUUUAUCUUCUUCAUUGCCGGGUCCUUAUCUGGAUCUUUAAAAUCCUUUUCAUUCCGGCCCGGGAACAAGAAUAUCUGGUGCAGCUUCUUUAGGAGGGAGGGCCUCAUAUUAUCUAUCUUCUAUAGUUUCUCAUCGUUGAUGAUGGCGGUUGUCCGUACGAUGCAGCCUAUUUGAUUGCUGUAGCACGCGCGCGCUUCCUCGUGCGCGUUUGGCUCAAAAUUGCCGUCGUCCACCUCUGUGACCACCAGUCUAGUAGUCCUGAGCUUGUUAGGAAGUCGUUGCCUCUUUGCUUUCGGUUCUACACCGGCUCCGCUAGUCUCGGCGCCGGUCUCAGUCUGAGCGCCGGUCUCGAUGCCGGUCUCAGUCUCAGCGUCGGUCUCAGUCUCAGCACCGGUCUGCGUGUCGGUCUCAGUCCCCGAUGCCACCGGUGGGCCCAACAACAACAUCGGUUGAUCGUCGGCAAGGCUCAAAAAUUCGUCUGCCGCCAGGUAGACGUCGUCGCAAUCACCAGAACCCUGUCCUUCAUCGUUGCUAGCCAUGUUUCCUACGAUUAAAUCUAGUCAAUUAAUUCUAGACCUAAUAAAAUGAAUAAUGACAUAAAAAAGGCCUAUUGUUUUGAGAACGUUGACUCCUUCCCGGUGCAGCAAAUCCCAGGCACUCGAUAUGUCCUAGUUUGUAGCACAAGUCAUGCCGAAAUUCACGGAAAUUUUGGGCAUGACCUUUGCUAAAAAGUGGACAAAUCGAGAACCUGAAAUUUGCCGGAACGAAAAUGAAUCAACAUUAACAUAGGCCAUUCAGCAUCAUUCCCUGGAAACAACAAAAGGCCACUUGGGCACAAUCGAAACAUGUGCAAACACAAUUGAGGAAUUUGCAUAUAUCCUGACCACUUCAAAUUUGCAUGUCCUAGUGUUUGACACUACAAGAAAAUCUACACAAAUCUCAUGCUCUCUCAAACUCAAUUCAAAAACCAAAUAUAGAUUAUAUUUAGUUAACUACUGAACUAAACUUUACUCUAAACUAAACCCUACUGCCCUAAUUAACAUCAACAUUAUCUACUACUUAACAUCUAUUAUUACCCUAACUAAAAAACAUCAACAUUAUCUACUACUUAACAUUAACAUCUAUUAACUAAAAAGGAUAGGUGGGGGGCUUACAGAGAGGGGAGAGACGGUGGCGGGGAGGUGCUUAGCGACGGAGGUAGGGGCGGAGAGGGCGGGCUUGGGAUCGGGAGGCGGCGGUCCUGGGCUGGCUCGGGGGCGGUGAGGUCGAGGGCGGCGCCAGUGAGAUCGAGGGAGGCGACGGUGAGGUCGAGGGCGGCCCGAGAGGCGGCGGUGGUGAGGCUGGGCGGCCUCGGGCAGCGGCGGUGAGGAUGAGCGCGGCGUUGACGCCGGCAGGAGACGGCGGUGAAGUGGGGGCGACGGCGAAGUGGGGGAGACAACGACGAAGUGGGGCGAGGGAUUUGGGGGAGAAGUGGUGGCCGGGGGGAAACCAUUUUUGGGUUAAGUCAAAAGUAACGGUAGCGCGUUACAGAAAACGCCCUAUAGCUAAGUUAGCUAUAACGCGUUUCAGCGAACGCGCUACUGCUACGUCUUCAUCCUUUUUUCCCUUUUUCAUUUAUUUUUCUUUACAUUAUAUAUUUUUCCUUUCUCCUUUUUCCAUUUCUUUCAUUUUCAUUUACUUUUCUAUUCUUUUUUCAUUUUAUUUUAUUUUCGUUAGCAGUAGCGCUUUACGCAUAAAUGCACUGCUAUAAGAAUAUUAGCGGUAGCGCGGUUUUUGGAAGAUCGCUACUACUAUGUGUAGCCCAUCGGCUUAGUGGUUGGAAUUUUAGUAGUUGCGAGUUUGCGGUGAGACACGCUACUGAUAUAUAUAUAUGCAUCUGCAGCGCGCUUAUUUUGCACGCGCUACUGCUGUCUAGCAGUAGCGUGCUUUUUUAACAAGUGCUACUGCUAAAGUUCUAUGUAUAACGUUUUCCCUAGUAGUGGAGGAGGCAAAUGAGUACGAGAGGAGCACGAGAGCAGCUCGCCUCCAAGCUGCAGCCCAUGAUGCAAUAGCCGCUACAUCUCAGUACGACCCCAACUACAACUUUGGAUAUCCGCCAGGCCAGCCGUGGUAGUAGACCAACUUAGGCCAAAAGCCUAAGCUUGGGGGAGUACGUAUUUCUUACCGACAUUACAUUUAUGCUCACACACUCAUGCUAGUUGUCGGUGCUCAUACUUUUUCACUGUAAUAUCCAUGCUAGUUUUAUUUUCCUUUUCAUGCUUUCUUCUUGUGUGUUUGAAAAACCUUAAGAAAAACCAAAAAAAUUAGUUGUAGCUUUUAGCUAGUUUACUUUUCAUGUUGUAGUAGUAGUAAUUAAAAAGAAAAUCCAAAAAGAUUUCUUGUUCUACUUUUGCUUGUUGGGAGCUUUCCCGUGUAAAUAGUUUUAUUUUUCUUUUCUUUGAGGGUCGAUAGGAGAAGACCAUGAUGAAAUUGUUGAAGUGGCUCUUACAUGCAUUAUUGUUGAUUUAACCAAAAGCCCAUAUUGCCUUGUCUUCUCCUGUUUAUUGAAUGCUUGCAGAUUCCGGCUUAGUCCAAUGCACGUGCACUAUUAUUAUUAUUAUUCACAUCGUUCGGUCGUGCAAGUGAAAGGCAAUUAUGACGAUAUAUGAUGGACUGAUUGAGAUGAGAUAAGCUGGUAUGAACUCGACAUCUUUUGUUUUUGUAAAUAUGAUUAGUUCAUCGUUCCUGAUUCAGCCUAUUAUGAAUAAACAUGUUUACAAUGACAAUUAGAGAUUAUAGUUACGUAUGCCAUGCUUAAUUAGCUAGGAGUUUAUAAUGGCUUACCUUGCAUGCCAACAUGCUAUUAAAAUGGUUGUGAUGUGGUAUGACAGGGUGGUAUCCUCCUUUGAAUGAUUCGAGUGACUUGACUUGGCACAUGUUCACGCAUGUAGUUGAAACAAAAUCAACAUAGCCUCCAUGAUAUUUAUGUUCAUGGUGGAUUAUAUCCUACUCAUGCUUGCACUCAAUGUUCAUUAAUUUUAAUGCAUGUUCAUGACUGUUGUCGCUCUCUGGUUGGUCGCUUCCCAGUCUUUUGCUAGCCUUCACUUGUACUAAGCGGGAAUACUGCUUGUGCAUCCAAUCCCUUGAACCCCAAAGUUAUUCCACAUGAGUCCACCAUACCUUCCUAUAUGCGGUAUCUACCUGCCGUUCCAAGUAAAUUUGUAUGUGCCAAACUCUAAACCUUCCAAUGAAAUUCUGUUUUGUAUACUCGAAAAGCUCAUGUAUCAACUAGGGUUGUCUGUAUCUUCCAUGUUAGGCGGGUUAUUCUCAAGAGGAGUGGACUCCGCUCCUCACUCACGAGAAAAUGGCUGGUCACCGGGAUGCCUAGUCCCAUGCUUUAUGCAAACCAAAUCAAAAUUAUUGCAAAAAACUCCCCCAGGGUUGUUGCUAGUUGGAGGCACUUGUUGUUUCGAGCAAGCCAUGGAUUGAUGCUUGUUGGUGGAGGGGGAGUAUAAACUUUACCAUUCUGCUUGGGAACCACCUAUAAUGUGUGUAGCAUGGAAGAUAUCGCCAUCUCUCGGUUGUUAUGUUGACAGUGAAAGUAUACCACUCAAAAUAUUAUUUAUCUCUAUUUCAAAAUCGAGCUCUGGCACCUCUACAAAUCCCUACUUCCCUCUGUGAAGGGCCUAUCUAUUUACUUUUAUGUUGAGUCAUCACCCUCUUAUUAAAAAGCACCAGUUGGAGAGCACCGCUGUCAUUUGCAUCCAUUACUAUUAAUUUAUAUUGAGUAUGACUAUGACUGGAUCUCUUUUACCAUGAAUUACAAUGUUUAGUUAGCCCUUGAUCUUUAAAGGUGCUCUGCAUUUAUGUUUUGCGGUCUCAGAAAGGGCUAGCGAGAUACCAUCUUGUUAUGUCAUAUUAUGAUUGUUUUGAGAAAGUGUUGUCAUCCGAGAAUUAUUAUUAUUGCUCGCUAGUUGAUUAUGCCAUUGAUAUGAGUAAACGUGAGACCUAAGUGUUAUUGUGAAUAUGGUUAGUUCACAAUCUGUGCUGAAAACUUGAAUGCUGGCUUUACAUAUUGACAACAACAAGAGCAAACAGAGAGUUUGUAAAAGUUUUUCUUUAUCACUUUCAGUUUGUCAACUGAAUUGCUUGAGGACAAGCAAAGGUUUAAGCUUGGGGGAGUUGAUAUGUCUCCGUCGUAUCUACUUUUCCAAACACUUUUGGCCGUGUUUUGGACUCUAACUUGCAUGAUAUGAAUGGAACUAACACGGACUGAUGGUGUUUUCAGCAGAAUUGCCAUGGUGUUAUUUUUGUGCAGAAACAAAAGUUCUCGGAAUGACCUAAAAAUCAAUGGAGAUUAUUUUUGGAAAAUAUAAAAAAUACUGGCGAAAGAAUCAGGGCCAUGGGCCCACACCCUGUCCACGAGGGUGGGGGGCACGCCCCCCUGCCUCGUGGGCCCCCUAGUGCUCCAUCGACCUCAACUCCAACUCCAUAUAUUCGUGUUCGGGGAGAAAAAUAUCAGAGAGAACGAUCCAUCGCGUUUUACGAUAUGGAGCCGUCGCCAAGCCCUAAACUCUCUCGGGAGGGCUGAUCUGGAGUCCGUUCGGGGCUCCGGAGAGGGGAAUCCGUCGCCAUCGUCAUCAUCAACCGUCCUCCAUCACCAAUUUCAUGAUGCUCACCGCCGUGCGUGAGUAAUUCCAUCGUAGGCUUGCUGGACGGUGAUGGGUUGGAUGAGAUUUAUCAUGUAAUCGAGUUAGUUUUGUUAGGGUUUGAUCCCUAGUAUCCACUAUGUUCUUAGAUUGAUGUUGCUAUGACUUUGCUAUGCUUACUUGUCACUAGGGCCCGAGUGCCAUGAACUCAGAUCUGAACCCUUUAUGUUUUCAUCAAUAUAUUUGUGUUCUUGAUCCGAUAUUGCAAGUUAUAGUCACCUACUAUGUGUUAUGAUCCAGCAACCCCGAAGUGACAAUAAUCGGGACCACUCCCGGUGAUGACCGUAGUUUGAGGAGUCCAUGUAUUCACUAUGUGUUAAUGCUUUGGUCCGGUACUCCAUUAAAAGGAGGCCUUAAUAUCCCUUAGUUUCCGCUAGGACCCCGCUGCCACGGGAGGGUGACAAAAGAUGUCAUGCAAGUUCUUUUCCAUAAGCACGUAUGACUAUAUUCGGAAUACAUGCCUACAUUACAUUGAUGAAUUGGAUCUAGUUCCGUGUCACCCUAUGUUAUAACUGUUACAUGAAUAAUCACAUCCGACAUAAUUAUCCAUCACCGAUCCAAUGCCUACGAGCUUUUCACAUAUUGUUCUCCGCUUAGUUACUCUACCGUUGCUAUUGUUACAAUCACUACAAUACUGCUACUGUUACCUUUGCCACUAUUACCGUUACUAUCAUACUACUUUGCUACUAAAUACUUUGCUGCAGAUAUUAAAUUAUCCAGGUGUGGUUGAAUUGACAACUCAACUGCUAAUACUUGAGAAUAUUCUUUGGCUCCCCUUGUGUCGAAUCAAUAAAUUUGGGUUGAAUACUGUACCCUCGAAAACUGUUGCGAUCCCCUAUACUUGUGGGUUAUCAAAGAUCAAUAUGUGAGAAGCUCGUAGGCAAUGGAUCAGUGAUGGAUAAUUAUGUCGGAUGCGAUUCCUCAUGCAACAGUUAUAACAUAGGGUGGCACAGAACUAGCUCCAGUUCAUCAAUGUAAUGUAGGCAUGUAUUCCGAAUAUAGUCAUACAUGCUUAUGGAAAAGAACUUGCAUGACAUCUUUUGUCCUACCCUCCCGUGGCAGCAGGGUCCUACUGGAAACUAAGGGAUAUUAAGGCCUCCUUUUAAUAGAGUACUGGACCAAAGCAUUAACACUUAGUGAAUACAUGAACUCCUCAAACUACGGUCAUCAUCGGGAGUGGUCCCGCUUAUUGUCACUUCGGGGUUGCCGGAUCAUAACACAUACUAGGUGACUAUUGACUUGCAAGAUAGGAUCAAGAACUCACAUAUAUUCAUGAAAACAUAAUAGGUUCAGAUCUGAAUUCAUGGCACUCGGGCCCUAGUGACAAGCAUUAAGCAUAGCAAAGUCAUAGCAACAUCAAUCUCAGAACAUAAUGGAUACUAGGGACCAAACCCUAACAAAACUAACUCGAUUACAUGAUAAAUCUCAUCCAACCCAUCACCGUCCAGCAAGCCUAUGAUGGAAUUACUCACGCAUGGCGGUGAGCAUCAUGAAAUUGGUGAUGGGGGAAGGUUGAUGAUGGCGACGGUGAUGUAUUCCCCUCUCCGGAGCCCCGAUCGGACUCCGGAUCAGCCCUCCCGAGAGAGAUUAGGGCUUGGCGGUGGUUCCGUAUCAGAAAACACGAUGAAUCCUUCUCUCUGAUUUUUUUUCUCCCCGAACGUGAAUAUAUGGAGUUUGAGUUGAGGUCGGUGGAGCAUCAGGGGGCCAACGAGACAGGGGGCGCGCCCAGGGGGUUGGCGCUCCACCACCCACGUGGACAGGGUGUGGGGCCCCUGGUCUUGACUCUUUUGCCAGUAUUUUUUAUAUAUUCCAAAAUAUUCUCCAUGAAGUUUCAGGUCAUUCCGAGAAAUUCUAUUUCUGCACAAAAAUAACACCAUGGCAAUUCUGCUGAAAACAGCGUCAGUCCGGGUUAGUCCCAUUCUAAUCAUGCAAGUUAGAGUCAAAAACAAGGGCAAAAGUGUUUGGAAAAGUAGAUAUGAUGGAGACGUAUCAAUGCUGCACCAGCACCCAAGUCCCAAAAGCUAAUGGGGGAUGCAAUUAAGUCAGGGGCUGCUACUUCAAAGCCCAAGAUUUCCCCCAAAGCUGUUGCUCAAGCUCAAAAGACUUCAAAGCCCAAGAGGAGCACUAGGAACAUUCCAGCUGCAAAGAAGAACAAGGCCCCAGUGCCUGAGAUGGAAGAAGAAGAUGCUGAAGCCCAAGUGCUAAGGAAACUUAAACCAAAGAUUCCAGACCAUGAUGACAGCCAUCCAGGGGCAGAGGAUAUGUGCAUCAGGAAGGAUGCAGGUCUGAGACUUUGGAGACAGAGUGAGGAGGAAGACCGCAGUGGACUACAGGUUCCACACCAAAGAACAACAAGAUUUCUAUGAAACUAUUCUGCUUGACAAGAAGCUCAUAGUUUGUGACUUGAAGUGGGCUGACUGGAAGUACAUUGAUGGGAAUGAAGAUCAUUUUCCAGGUGUACAUGAGAGCUUUAGAGCUUGUGGUGUUGACAAGUUUUUGGGUCAUACGUUGACAAAAUGGAAUGAUGAACUCAUCAUGCCAUUCUACUCUACGGCUCAUUUUUAUCCAGGUGGUAGAAUUGUAUGGAUGUCUGAGGGUACAAGGUACCAGUCAACUGUUGAUGAGUGGGCUAAGUUGAUAAAUGCCCCUGAAGAGCAUGAAGAUGACUUGGAUGUCUAUGCCAAGAAGAAGAAAGACCACAACUCUAUGGCCAAUAUGUACAAAGAGAUCCCAAACAAAGCUUUGGAUACACAUAUAUUUGGAUCUGUUCAUUACUUAUUGUCUGGUCUAGCUACAAUCAACACUAUAUUGAGGCAUACUUUGUUGCCCAAAAUCUGGAGAUCACAAGAUGAUCAGAGGCCAUUCAAUCAAUUUGCUGCAGAUAUUUGAUGUGCCUCAGAAAUUCAAAGUUAUGAGCCUGAUUGUUGAAACAAUCAAGAGGACUGCUGCUAAUCAGAAGAGAUCUUGUGGGUAUGCUCCACAUAUUCAGGUGCUCAUCAACUCCAAGAUGGGCACAAGCACCUAUUUGUUGGAUAAGGAGCAUCUACCCCUAAGACCAGAAUUUGAGGACAAUACUGUUGUGAUGAAUGAAGAAGAUCCCACAUCUGUUCAAGCAUAAGAGAAGAGAGAAAAGGCAAAGGCAGAAAAAGCUACAAAGAUGCCAAGUGUUGAAGAGGCAUUUCAGGUAUUUUUGAAGAGCAAACAAGAUCAGCUUGCAUAUCUGAUUCAAGCAACUUUGAGGAUUGGGAUGGGCUUGGCCACCCUGACUCAAAAUCAGGAGAGCCUAGAGAGGAUCAUUGAGACCAAAUUCUAUGAUCUUGAUCUUAAAGUGACUGAGAUGUAGACAGCUGUUGAGCAGCUCCAGGAGGAAGCAGGCUACAACAGAUGCCUUUUAGAGAGUGCCUAGAGGUCAGAGGUCAGCUGCAGUGCCCAUGGCUGACACUAGAGCAACUACAUCAGCACCAGCAGCUACAUCUUCAAUGCCACCUCCAGUUGCCAGUCCACCAGCUCCAACAACAUCUACAUAUGCCUUCAUCCUUGGAGUCCUCUCAACACCACCUCCCGAAGAUCAAGCCUAGAGAGACGCAUAGCACUAUGCAUCUUCAAACUUUUUUGUAACUUGUUGCCAAAGGGGGAGAAAUGUAUAGAUCAUAGGCUUCGAGAGAGAGUGUUUUUGCUUCUUUGGUAUCUUGCCAUUUGGUUGAAACUUUUGUGUGUGCUUGUUUAACACUCUUUAUGUUUGUGUGUGAGAGACUUGUAUGAUCAUGUGUUUGAUCAUAUCCUAAUUUAAUGCUUGCUUGGAUGAUAUUAUCUUUUAUAUCCCAUAUAUGAUCAUUCACUUUGCUUGGUGAUGAGUGCAUGCUUUUAAUUUCUAUCAUUUUGAGCACUCCACCAAGAUGUAUGUGACAUGGAAGAGUAACCCAUGAUCCUAAUCGAUUGUGCAUUUGCAUUCAAAAGCAAAUUUUAAUUAAUGCACAUACUUAGGGGGAGCUCUUGCUUAUCACACACUUCUCAAAUCGACGAUGUUUUUAAAUCUUAUUAUCAUUUGUCGAAGCUUUGAUCUAUAUGUUGUCAUCAAUUACCAAAAAGGGGGAGAUUGAAAGUGCAACUAUCCCUGGGUGGUUUUGGUAAUUCCUAACAACAUAUAGCUCAUUGAACUAAUGCUACUUCAAGAUGAUUAUUUCAAAAAGUUCAAUGAUUGGCAUGGCAUGGACUAGGAAUGUGGACCCCUCAAAAUGCUAAGGACACAUAUUGGCUCAAGCUCAAGACUCUACAUUUUCAUUUUAGUGAUCCAAGAUCACAUUGAGUCCAUAGGAAAAGCCAAUACUAUGAAAAGGGGAUGAGGUGUUGCUUAAUGGCUUGCUUUCUCAAAAUGCUUAGUGAUAUGCUCCAAAAGCCCUCAACCACUUUAUCAUAUCCACAUAUGUCCCAAACCAAAAGUCAAACUCGGCCCCACCGAUUUGAUCUAUCCGGCGCCACCGAGUUCAUAACUGCCAGAAACCCUAGUCACUUCGGUCUCACCGACAGGGAUCUCGGUCUCACCGAGAUGGGAUUGCAAACUCUCUGUUUUCCUUCGUAACGUUUCGGUCAAACCGAGAUGAGCAAUCGUUCCCACUGAGUUCGCAAUGCAAACUCUCUGUUUCCUUUUCGUAACGUUUCGGUCUCACCGAAAUGAGCGAUUCGGUCCCACCGAGUUUGCCUGACCAACUCUCUGGUUGUUCAUUACAGAAAUCGGUCCUACCGAGUUUGUAUGAUCGGUCUCACCGAGAUUACGAUAUGCCCUAACCCUAAUGAAAUCGGUCCCACCGAGUUGACAUGUCGGUCGCACCGAAAAUCCUAACGGUCACAUUUUAAACUAAAUCGGUCUGACCGAGUUUUAUGAUUCGGUCCCACCGAGUUUGGUAAAUUGUGCGUAACGGUUAGAUUUUGUGUGGAGGCUAUAUAUACCCCUCCACCCACUCUUCAUUCGUGGAGAGAGCCAUCAGAACGUGCCUACACUUCCCACAUACAUUUUCUGAAAGAGAACCACCUACUCAUGUGUUGAGACCAAUAUAUUCCAUUCCGACCACAUGAAUCUUGAUCUCUAACCUUCUCUAAGUUGCUUUCCACUCAAAUUAUCUUUCCACCAAAUCCAAAUCCGUGAGAGAGAGUUGAGUGUUGGGGAGACUAUCAUUUGAAGCACAAGAGCAAGGAGUUCAUCAUCAACACACCAUCUAUUACCUUUUGGAGAGUGGUGUCUCCUAGAUUGGUUAGGUGUCACUUGAGAGCCUCUGUCAAGAUUGUGGAGUUGAACCAAGGAGUUUGUACACGCAAUGAGAUCGCCUACUUCGUGAAGAUCUACCCUAGUGAGGCAAGUCCUUCGUGGGCGAUGGCCAUGGUGGGAGAGACAAGGUUGCUUGUUCGUGGACCCUUCGUGGGUGGAGCCCUCCGUGGACUCGCGCAACCGUUACCCUUCGUGGAUUGAAGUCUCCAUCAACGUGGAUGUACGAUAGCACCACCUAUCGGAACCACACCAAAAAUCUUCGUGUCUACAUUGCGUUUUUUGCUCCCUCCAAACUCCUCCCUUUACCUUCACAUGCAAAUGUUUUACAUUCCGCUGCUAUACUCUUAGACUUGCAUCUGUAGGUUGAUUGCUUGACUUGUGCUAAGUUGCCAAAAUCUGCCAAGACUUAAAAUUAGGAAAAAGAUAGAUUUUUAUUUGGUCAAGUAGUCUAAUCACCNNNNNNNNNNNNNNNNNNNNNNNNNNNNNNNNNNNNNNNNNNNNNNNNNNNNNNNNNNNNNNNNNNNNNNNNNNNNNNNNNNNNNNNNNNNNNNNNNNNNNNNNNNNNNNNNNNNNNNNNNNNNNNNNNNNNNNNNNNNNNNNNNNNNNNNNNNNNNNNNNNNNNNNNNNNNNNNNNNNNNNNNNNNNNNNNNNNNNNNNNNNNNNNNNNNNNNNNNNNNNNNNNNNNNNNNNNNNNNNNNNNNNNNNNNNNNNNGGCUUCCUCCGUUGGGCCAAAACGGAUGACAAGUAACGAAACCAAAUAGCGUACGUGUGAAAUUAAUUAAAGCAGAACCAAACGAAGCGGGACGAAAUCAAGAAUAUCACCUACCUUUAAUAAUAGGUAUAGACAUCGGCCUUUCAAAAAUAGAUUCCUGCCGUGUUGAUGCAUGUCGCCACUUCAGGCCAUGGUCUGGUGGCAGUAAUCGUGUGCAAAUAAAUAUUGCUUCCUUGUAAAACUAGUACAUGCAUACGUGCAAGGCACAUUGAUAGUAGGCAGAAAAUUAAUUACACAUUGAUAUCACACAGAAAAUUCAUUGCGCGUUUGAUAAUAGGUAGGAUAUUAGAUGAUCGUAUCUUCUCCCCAACAAUAAUUUACAAUGUUCAUUUGCUUCGCAAAUAUUGCUUUAAUUCGAAUAUUAAAUAAUUCAAAUUUAUGGUGCUCCAAAAUAUUCAUUUGCUUCUAUAAAAGUACUACCAAAAGAGAGCCUUGCAACCCACAGAAAUUCCGAAGAACGACAUAACAUAGAGAAGGAAAAAAAGGCCGUCAUGGCAAUAUUCAACAAGAACACAAGUGCCCAGUGCUCUUGUGCUCAUCGCUACUGUCAUUUCGUCUUGCGAUGCGUUUGGCCCAGGUACGUGCGUCUCUGACCUAACUAUAAGUCAAUGUGGUUUUGCCAUGUGAUGCUAAUUUUCUAUGUAUUUCACAAUGUUGAGUUGUAUGGAUCUUAUGGCAUCUGGUCUUGUCUGGGUAUUCUUCUAACAAUGUUUUUUUUGUGAACAUGUAGAAGGAGGAUGUUUCAUGCCUUUCCUGAGUUGCAAUCUGGACUUAUGCAGGCAUGACUGCAACGGUUUAUUUGCCUCUUGCCAAAUGAUAGGCGACUUGCACCACCGAUGUUGUUGCGCUCCCAAGAAACUCAGUGCAUCUAUUGAUAAGAAUAGUCGUCCUUGAGAUAUGCAUUCCGAAAUUGUAGUUUAUAUGUCACUGCUUUUGCCUGGAUCCAAUUCCGCGCGACUGAGUAAAAUUUAUCGCCAUUGAAAAAAUAUCGCUCCUGAGAUAUUUACGUAUCGUGUGAAACCAUAGUGCUUUGUUUGGAUGUUCAUAUCCGAACCUCAACAUUGAUAUUGGGGCCAAUAUCAACUCAACUUGGACAUUGAUAUUGACACGUAAGAUAAAU
RNAcentral lists this long non-coding RNA (32052 nucleotides) under Triticum aestivum (bread wheat). RNAcentral describes it as "long non-coding RNA (TAES_LNC017256)". Lineage: Eukaryota; Viridiplantae; Streptophyta; Magnoliopsida; Poales; Poaceae. The record is from RNAcentral.